CUGAAGAAGAAGAAGAAGGUUUUAGAUUUUCAUUUGACACAUUUCUAUCCUCUUCUUCACCUUCCUUAUUGUUAUCCUCCCCAAUCUUAUUGUCUAUUAUACGUCCACUCCUUAGGGUAGUCAAAGCAUUGGCUUGUUCAUGAUGAAUUGUAUUUAAUUGAUUUUCUUGAUCCAUGUAUUGUCCCCUAGGAUUACUUAGUG
RNAcentral lists this long non-coding RNA (201 nucleotides) under Phoenix dactylifera (date palm). RNAcentral's name for it is "long non-coding RNA (PDAC_LNC019367)". The record is from RNAcentral. Lineage: Eukaryota; Viridiplantae; Streptophyta; Magnoliopsida; Arecales; Arecaceae.